AAGUCGAACGGUAACAUUUCUAGCUUGCUAGAAGAUGACGAGUGGCGGACGGGUGAGUAAUGCUUGGGAACUUGCCUUUGCGAGGGGGAUAACAGUUGGAAACGACUGCUAAUACCGCAUAAUGUCUUCGGACCAAACGGGGCUUCGGCUCCGGCGCAAAGAGAGGCCCAAGUGAGAUUAGCUAGUUGGUAAGGUAACGGCUUACCAAGGCGACGAUCUCUAGCUGUUCUGAGAGGAAGAUCAGCCACACUGGGACUGAGACACGGCCCAGACUCCUACGGGAGGCAGCAGUGGGGAAUAUUGCACAAUGGGGGAAACCCUGAUGCAGCCAUGCCGCGUGUGUGAAGAAGGCCUUCGGGUUGUAAAGCACUUUCAGUUGUGAGGAAAAGCUAGUAGUUAAUACCUGCUAACCGUGACGUUAACAACAGAAGAAGCACCGGCUAACUCCGUGCCAGCAGCCGCGGUAAUACGGAGGGUGCGAGCGUUAAUCGGAAUUACUGGGCGUAAAGCGCACGCAGGCGGUUUGUUAAGCUAGAUGUGAAAGCCCCGGGCUCAACCUGGGAUGGUCAUUUAGAACUGGCAGACUAGAGUCUUGGAGAGGGGAGUGGAAUUCCAGGUGUAGCGGUGAAAUGCGUAGAUAUCUGGAGGAACAUCAGUGGCGAAGGCGACUCUCUGGCCAAAGACUGACGCUCAUGUGCGAAAGUGUGGGUAGCGAACAGGAUUAGAUACCCUGGUAGUCCACACCGUAAACGCUGUCUACUAGCUGUUUGUGGCUUUAAGCCGUGAGUAGCGAAGCUAACGCGCUAAGUAGACCGCCUGGGGAGUACGGCCGCAAGGUUAAAACUCAAAUGAAUUGACGGGGGCCCGCACAAGCGGUGGAGCAUGUGUUUACUCGAUGCAACGCGAAGAACCUUACCUACACUUGACAUGCAGAGACUUUCCAGAGAUGGAUUGUGCCUUCGGGAACUCUGACACAGGUGCUGCAUGCUGUCGUCAGCUCGUGUCGUGAGAUGUUGGGUAGUCCCGCACGAGCGCAACCCUUGUCCUUAGUUGCCAGCAUUCAGGUUGGGCACUCUAAGA
RNAcentral lists this ribosomal RNA (1080 nucleotides) under uncultured Alteromonas sp. RNAcentral describes it as "bacterial SSU rRNA". It matches the Rfam family "Bacterial small subunit ribosomal RNA", at positions 59 to 1145 of the family's 1533-position model. The record is from RNAcentral. Lineage: Bacteria; Pseudomonadati; Pseudomonadota; Gammaproteobacteria; Alteromonadales; Alteromonadaceae.